GUUAACCUUCUCACAACCUCUUAUUGUCAAUGUCUCAAAAGAACAAUCAUUUAUGUGUGAGAGCUUAACGUUUUAGGACAAUCUUCCUCUUCCAAAAAGGCAUGUGAUUGGAUUCCAUCCAUGCUAUUAAAGAUUAAAGAAUUUGCUCUUAAGAAACUCAUUACUGUGUCUCUAUUUAUAUUUUUGCAUCUUCACCAUUCUUCUUGCAAUUUUGAUACAUGGAGCUUGUCUGUCAUUUACAAAUUUCCAACUUAGUUUAUGAUAGGUGCUGAUAGUUGUUCCUUGGGUUCCAAUUCCAAGCCAUAUGCUGGUAUCUAUCAAAGCCAUGGGGCUUGUUGUGGUUUGAACCCACCUCAAGACUUAACAUGAAUGCAAUAGUGUCAUUUUUAAAGAAUUUUAUAUAGUUCUGUAUGUGUGUUUGCAUGUACAUAUGUUUAGCCUGUAAGUAUGCACAAAGGUGUAUAUAUAAAUUAGAAGAGAUUUUUCUUGGUGAGCAUUUGUGAUGUAGAACCGAUAGGUAUUAGGGGUUUAGGGUGAGAAAUAAAUUCUCAAAUUGAAGAGAAACU
Molecule: unclassified non-coding RNA, 566 nt
Filed under: Hevea brasiliensis (rubber tree)
Lineage: Eukaryota; Viridiplantae; Streptophyta; Magnoliopsida; Malpighiales; Euphorbiaceae
Source: RNAcentral